CAAUAGCGUAUACUAAUGUUGUUGCAGUUAAAAGCUCGUAGUUGGAUUUCUGGGAUUUUCAGCCGGCCGGCUCUUAGGAGUUGUAGCUAGGUUUGCAAGUCUCAUCUUCUCACAAUUCUCACUGGCCUUAACUGUUCGGUGCAGAGGACUGAGUCGUUUACUUUGAGAAAAUUAGAGUGUUCAAAGCAGGCUAUCGCCUUGAAUAUAUUAGCAUGGAAUAAUGAUAUAGGACUUUGGUUCUAUUUUGUUGGUUGUUCGAGGACCGAAGUAAUGAUUGAUAGGGACGGUUGGGGGCGUCAGUAUUCUGAAGCGAGAGGUGAAAUUCUUGGACCUUCGGAAGACUAACAACUGCGAAAGCAUUCGCCUAGGAUGUUCUCUUUAAUCAAGAACGAAAGUUGGGGGAUCGAAGACGAUUAGAUACC
This 422-nucleotide ribosomal RNA is filed under the name uncultured eukaryote. Its description in RNAcentral is "bacterial SSU rRNA". It matches the Rfam family "Eukaryotic small subunit ribosomal RNA", at positions 592 to 1016 of the family's 1831-position model. The record is from RNAcentral.